CCCAAGAGACUGGGAUAACACCUGGAAACAGAUGCUAAUACCGGAUAACAACACUAGACGCAUGUCUAGAGUUUAAAAGAUGGUUCUGCUAUCACUCUUGGAUGGACCUGCGGUGCAUUAGCUAGUUGGUAAGGUAACGGCUUGCCAAGGCAAUGAUGCAUAGCCGAGUUGAGAGACUGAUCGGCCACAUUGGGACUGAGACACGGCCCAA
RNAcentral lists this ribosomal RNA (211 nucleotides) under uncultured bacterium. RNAcentral describes it as "partial 16S ribosomal RNA". It matches the Rfam family "Bacterial small subunit ribosomal RNA", at positions 129 to 334 of the family's 1533-position model. The record is from RNAcentral.